This 475-nucleotide ribosomal RNA is filed under the name uncultured Acidobacteriaceae bacterium. RNAcentral's name for it is "bacterial SSU rRNA". It matches the Rfam family "Bacterial small subunit ribosomal RNA", at positions 8 to 493 of the family's 1533-position model. Lineage: Bacteria; Pseudomonadati; Acidobacteriota; Terriglobia; Terriglobales; Acidobacteriaceae. The record is from RNAcentral.
AGAGUUUGAUCAUGGCUCAGAAUCAACGCUGGCGGCGUGCCUAACACAUGCAAGUCGAGCGAGAAAAGGGGAGCAAUCCCCUGAGUACAGCGGCGCACGGGUGAGUAACACGUGGGUAAUCUGCCCUAGAGUGGGGAAUAACACCGGGAAACCGGUGCUAAUACCGCAUACGUUACGAGAUCUGCGGAUUUCGUAAUAAAAGGAGCAAUUCGCUCUAGGAGGAGCCCGCGGCUGAUUAGCUAGUUGGUGAGGUAAUGGCUCACCAAGGCUACGAUCAGUAUCCGGUCUGAGAGGACGGUCGGACACACUGGAACUGAGACACGGUCCAGACUCCUACGGGAGGCAGCAGUGGGGAAUUUUUGGCAAUGGGGGAAACCCUGACCAAGCAACGCCGCGUGGAUGAUGAAGUCUCUUGGGACGUAAAAUCCUUUCGACAGGGAAGAAACCCGCAAGGGUGACGGUACCUUAGAAGAGC